AAAAGUUUACAGAUGCCAAUUUGCAAACGAAUACAUAAUACCACGUGACUUGUGCCACGGUAGGGUUAUUGGAGAGAAUCACGGAAGUGGUGAUGGACCUGAGUCAGGGACGUGGGUGCCUGAAACCCAGUGCCGCCAAUCUCGGAUUAGAGUUUGGGCAGUGAGAUUGGAUAUUUGCAGUUCCACACAACAGAAAUCUGUCUUUUAAGUAAGGUGAGAAAAAUUAAGUUUCCUAAUGUUUAAGUUCGGUAGGAGUAACCUUUACUUUUGAAAAUCUGUUACCUCUUUAUUUUUGUGCAUUAAGCACCACAGAGAGCCAAAUAAGAUUAGAGACAAUUAUAUAAGAGACGGCCUUUGUCUCUAUUCCAUCUUUUCACAUGACACUCUUUCCACUUUUACCU
Molecule: long non-coding RNA, 401 nt
Filed under: Fukomys damarensis (Damara mole-rat)
Lineage: Eukaryota; Metazoa; Chordata; Mammalia; Rodentia; Bathyergidae
Description: lncRNA (ENSFDAG00000029019.1)
Source: RNAcentral